GCCUGACUAGCUCAGUUGGUAGAACAUGGGGCUCUUAAUCCCAGGGCCGUGGGUUCAAGCCCCAUGUUGGGUG
Molecule: non-coding RNA, 73 nt
Organism: Alligator sinensis (Chinese alligator)
Lineage: Eukaryota; Metazoa; Chordata; Crocodylia; Alligatoridae
Source: Rfam